RNAcentral lists this transfer RNA (61 nucleotides) under Cleridae sp. 1 KM-2017. RNAcentral describes it as "tRNA-Cys". The record is from RNAcentral. Lineage: Eukaryota; Metazoa; Arthropoda; Insecta; Coleoptera; Cleridae.
AUCUAAGUAUUCAAUUAUGAUAUUAAAUUGCAAAUUUAAAGGUAAAGUAUUUUCUUAGAUU